CACCUCCUGCUGCUGUGCGGCCCGGUUCCUAACAGGACACGGACCGAGGUUCGCGGUUCGAGUCUAGCAGCUGCCCUGGUCAACACUGUGGUGUGCGAUGAUCGCUGUCGCACUACACGCCGUCUGCUUCGCUCACGGCGGACGCUAAACAUCCCCUGACAUCAUUCGCAAGAGGAGCACGGAACGCCUCACUCGAGCAUGGAGGACUCUCUUUCCGGAGGGGGUCCUACAUUGGGAUGUUUGGCCCAAUUCCAUGACCCAGCCGUCUUCACUCGCGAGAGGAGACCGGAGAUCCCGGAGAUUACCCCAUGCGUACGAGGGGGUGGACGCGCCCUACACCGUGGUAGGUGAACGCUGCACGUGAUGCACCUUUGGAACAAAAUCUAUAAACGACAAGAAACCCCCAUCGCCUACGCACGUAUGUCAACCACGCUCGUCGGAGGUAUGGGCCAAUGACAUCAUCAUGGCUGAAUAACAGCGCAAGCUGGAAAAGCACAAAGUUCAAACGAGACGCACAUUCUUCACACAUUUCCUGCGUGUCGUUUGAAAGUCAUAUAAUGGUCUGCUCGCCACGAGAGGGCUUCGGGAGAGAGAGUUGGUGUAGGAAUGGUGUUCCUCCUCCCUUGAAGGAGCGCAGUGCUUUUACUGUACGGACAACGCUUUGGUUUGCAUGGCCACAGCUGCACCACGGUCAUGGCCCCUGAUCGUGCGAGUCAUGGACAAUACGACACUCGGAGGUAUGCAGGGGCCCCGUGAUCGCCAAGCAAGCCACUCAGCCUUUCGGAGGAGGCGCUAAGUCUCGCGCCGUGCAGCACAGAGGCAACGUUGCCCGUCAGAGUUAAGCGUCUGAGAGCCCUCAUUACGAUAUUAGGACACUAAUCCGCACCUCCGAUUGGCGCGGUAGGCUUCGUACGGUGGAAAAGAAGUUCAACAUGCGACACUGUGCCCCUUGUGCCGCUGCCAACGUGGAUCGGUUGAACUCGUCCGUGCGCGAAUUAGAGGCGGCUCUCGGUAAGUGAGGAAACACGCUUCAACCGGGCACUCUUGCCACCAACGCAUUGCAGUACGACGUGGAUUGAUUGCAGUGUCUAAAUAUGGCCACAUCGCAGGAUGCCGGAGAGAAACAGAGGGCGUAUUUGCAUUGCAGAGAGAGACUGAGAGAGACAGUCGGUCAUAGGCAAGAUGUCUUGAACACGAAUGUUUGGCGGUAAGGGGGUUCCAGCCAAACGCAAGGAGGGCAGAGGAGAUUUAACAACCUCUCACCCAGUGGAGAUUGACUGAGAGUUUUGAUGGAAGGCAUUGAUUGCUGUAGCUGAGUGUGCGUGCAAGAGAGUAGAGUGAGGGAAGUGCGUGGAGGGGAGUAGAGUGAGAUGAGAGGUAGGAG
Molecule: non-coding RNA, 1384 nt
Organism: Petromyzon marinus (sea lamprey)
Lineage: Eukaryota; Metazoa; Chordata; Hyperoartia; Petromyzontiformes; Petromyzontidae
Source: RefSeq, a predicted model, not a curated record